AAGUCGUAACAAGGUUUCCGUAGGUGAACCUGCGGAAGGAUCAUUAAUGAAAUGAUAAUUUUUUGGGGAUUUCCCUAAAAAAUAAUUCACCAUUUGUGCAUUGUUAUUAGAUAUACUUUGGUUAGAGCUUUGAUUUCAUUUAUUGGAAUCAACUUCUUGCUAACUCUAUCCUGUUAAGGACAGUUGGCUAUGAAGCGGCCUACCAAGGUUUUUUUUAUCAAACUCUUGUAUUUUGUCUGACCUAAACUAUUAUAAUUAAAUCAUAACUUUCAACAACGGAUCUCUUGGCUCUC
RNAcentral lists this unclassified non-coding RNA (293 nucleotides) under fungal sp. RNAcentral's name for it is "partial internal transcribed spacer region". The stretch from base 1 to 46 matches the Rfam family "Eukaryotic small subunit ribosomal RNA", at positions 1786 to 1831 of the family's 1831-position model. Lineage: Eukaryota; Fungi. The record is from RNAcentral.